Molecule: non-coding RNA, 27 nt
Filed under: Macaca fascicularis (crab-eating macaque)
Lineage: Eukaryota; Metazoa; Chordata; Mammalia; Primates; Cercopithecidae
Also listed under: 1 other name
Source: RNAcentral
UCCUUGGGAGAGUCAAAGGAAGGUGAC